Molecule: ribosomal RNA, 2158 nt
Filed under: Salmonella enterica subsp. enterica serovar Enteritidis
Lineage: Bacteria; Pseudomonadati; Pseudomonadota; Gammaproteobacteria; Enterobacterales; Enterobacteriaceae
Description: partial 23S ribosomal RNA
Rfam family: Bacterial large subunit ribosomal RNA
Source: RNAcentral
GCCGGAGGGAAACCGAGUCUUAAUUGGGCGUUAAGUUGCAGGGUAUAGACCCGAAACCCGGUGAUCUAGCCAUGGGCAGGUUGAAGGUUGGGUAACACUAACUGGAGGACCGAACCGACUAAUGUUGAAAAAUUAGCGGAUGACCUGUGGCUGGGGGUGAAAGGCCAAUCAAACCGGGAGAUAGCUGGUUCUCCCCGAAAGCUAUUUAGGUAGCGCCUCGUGAAUUCAUCUCCGGGGGUAGAGCACUGUUUCGGCUAGGGGGCCAUCCCGGCUUACCAACCCGAUGCAAACUGCGAAUACCGGAGAAUGUUAUCACGGGAGACACACGGCGGGUGCUAACGUCCGUCGUGAAGAGGGAAACAACCCAGACCGCCAGCUAAGGUCCCAAAGUCAUGGUUAAGUGGGAAACGAUGUGGGAAGGCCCAGACAGCCAGGAUGUUGGCUUAGAAGCAGCCAUCAUUUAAAGAAAGCGUAAUAGCUCACUGGUCGAGUCGGCCUGCGCGGAAGAUGUAACGGGGCUAAACCAUGCACCGAAGCUGCGGCAGCGACGCUUAUGCGUUGUUGGGUAGGGGAGCGUUCUGUAAGCCUGCGAAGGUGGCCUGUGAGGGUUGCUGGAGGUAUCAGAAGUGCGAAUGCUGACAUAAGUAACGAUAAAGCGGGUGAAAAGCCCGCUCGCCGGAAGACCAAGGGUUCCUGUCCAACGUUAAUCGGGGCAGGGUGAGUCGACCCCUAAGGCGAGGCCGAAAGGCGUAGUCGAUGGGAAACGGGUUAAUAUUCCCGUACUUGGUGUUACUGCGAAGGGGGGACGGAGAAGGCUAUGUUGGCCGGGCGACGGUUGUCCCGGUUUAAGCGUGUAGGUGUGUGUUCCAGGUAAAUCCGGUUCACUUUAACACUGAGGCGUGACGACGAGGCACUACGGUGCUGAAGCAACAAAUGCCCUGCUUCCAGGAAAAGCCUCUAAGCAUCAGGUAACAUCAAAUCGUACCCCAAACCGACACAGGUGGUCAGGUAGAGAAUACCAAGGCGCUUGAGAGAACUCGGGUGAAGGAACUAGGCAAAAUGGUGCCGUAACUUCGGGAGAAGGCACGCUGACACGUAGGUGAAGUGAUUUACUCAUGGAGCUGAAGUCAGUCGAAGAUACCAGCUGGCUGCAACUGUUUAUUAAAAACACAGCACUGUGCAAACACGAAAGUGGACGUAUACGGUGUGACGCCUGCCCGGUGCCGGAAGGUUAAUUGAUGGGGUCAGCGCAAGCGAAGCUCCUGAUCGAAGCCCCGGUAAACGGCGGCCGUAACUAUAACGGUCCUAAGGUAGCGAAAUUCCUUGUCGGGUAAGUUCCGACCUGCACGAAUGGCGUAAUGAUGGCCAGGCUGUCUCCACCCGAGACUCAGUGAAAUUGAACUCGCUGUGAAGAUGCAGUGUACCCGCGGCAAGACGGAAAGACCCCGUGAACCUUUACUAUAGCUUGACACUGAACAUUGAGCCUUGAUGUGUAGGAUAGGUGGGAGGCUUUGAAGUGUGGACGCCAGUCUGCAUGGAGCCGACCUUGAAAUACCACCCUUUAAUGUUUGAUGUUCUAACGUGGACCCGUUACCCGGGUUGCGGACAGUGUCUGGUGGGUAGUUUGACUGGGGCGGUCUCCUCCUAAAGAGUAACGGAGGAGCACGAAGGUUGGCUAAUCCUGGUCGGACAUCAGGAGGUUAGUGCAAUGGCAUAAGCCAGCUUGACUGCGAGCGUGACGGCGCGAGCAGGUGCGAAAGCAGGUCAUAGUGAUCCGGUGGUUCUGAAUGGAAGGGCCAUCGCUCAACGGAUAAAAGGUACUCCGGGGAUAACAGGCUGAUACCGCCCAAGAGUUCAUAUCGACGGCGGUGUUUGGCACCUCGAUGUCGGCUCAUCACAUCCUGGGGCUGAAGUAGGUCCCAAGGGUAUGGCUGUUCGCCAUUUAAAGUGGUACGCGAGCUGGGUUUAGAACGUCGUGAGACAGUUCGGUCCCUAUCUGCCGUGGGCGCUGGAGAACUGAGGGGGGCUGCUCCUAGUACGAGAGGACCGGAGUGGACGCAUCACUGGUGUUCGGGUUGUCAUGCCAAUGGCACUGCCCGGUAGCUAAAUGCGGAAGAGAUAAGUGCUGAAAGCAUCUAAGCACGAAACUUGCCCCGAG